GUUAAAUAUCUGAACAUUUGUUUGUCAGGCAGAUAAAAUACAGUUUUCCGUACAAUACUGCUAGUUGUGUUUGAAGAUGCACUUCCAAGAAUUUCGGAUGACCUGCCUGUUGCCAGAAAUCUCGAAGUUACUCUUCUCUCGCCGACAGCGAUUGAUCCCUCAUUAAAAUAGUUUGUUUUCUAUCGACAUUACUUUUUGUCGUACGAUGCAGGAUUGGUCCGAAAAUAGUUGUGAAAUCUUUCGGGAACGUGAUUCUCGCUUCAGUUAGGAAACUACCAUGCGAAGAGUUGCUCCUCGUCUCCAGCCUUUUUCUGAGAAAUUUCCACAAUUAUUGUUGUUUUACGUUGUUACAGCCAAUAUAAUAGCGACACACACUUUCUAUUGGAUGUUUGACAUCGUGUUGCCCAGUCACAGUAUUGACAAUAUUACUGCUUGUUGGUUCAGUAUUGGCCUAUUACAGGUUUUACAAAUUGGUAUUCCAAAUAAAUACUGAAAGUAUGCAGUCCCCAUUGGUGUUCCUUAUUUUACCAAUAACUAGGUAAUGAGAAGAACGUUUCACAAAUCAAUUUCCAUAUAUCAUAAAAAUGCCACAAUAAAGAUUGCACAACGGCUCCACAUUGAAUAUAUCAUGUCAAAUGAUAAUGAUGAGAAAAUCAGAAAACUUCUUCAUGCAUAAGAUUAGAAGAAUGCAGUGAAAGAUUCAAAGUAGUACUGUAGCUGAAGAUGAGAAGCAAAGUAAGAGCAUUUGGAACACAAAUCUAUAUCAUAUGUUCAGAUCAUUUUCAAAGAAGAAUGGGGCACGUGGAGGGUUAUUUCUAAAGAGAGCCAGAGAUUGUCCUUUUUAAGAGACAGUUCAAGUGAAAAUAAGUGCAAGGAAAACAUUUAUCAAGAUCCAGAUGAAGACAUUCUAAAAUACCACUUUACUCCAGAAAAGUAUGACAACUUUUUCGAUUUAAUGAAAGCCAUCUCAAGAAAGCACAUGCAUAUAAGCUGUAAAUUAGUACACAUUCCAAAGCACUGAUAAAGCACUACAGAUUUGUUUUUGUGUUUACAAGUUACUGUUACAUUAGUGAAAAUUUGUGAACAGUGACCAAGAAAGCCAAGAGAGCCACAGAAAUGGAAACACCUCUGCACAUCACAACGAGUCUGCCACAUCAGAAGAACACAGAUAACCACAGAAUUUACGAAAAGACUAUGUAACAUCAGUAUGGCCUUAUGGUAAAAUUGUUUUUGUAAUGCCAUUUAGCCCGAAAAUGAGGUUUUCCCUCG
Molecule: long non-coding RNA, 1269 nt
Filed under: Schistocerca americana (American grasshopper)
Lineage: Eukaryota; Metazoa; Arthropoda; Insecta; Orthoptera; Acrididae
Description: uncharacterized LOC124544841
Source: RNAcentral